AACGCGAAGAACCUUACCUGGGUUAAAUCCCAGUUGUAAGCCUCAGAGAUGAGGCCCCCUCGCAAGAGGCGGCUGGGAAGGUGCUGCAUGGCUGUCGUCAGCUCGUGUCGUGAGAUGUUGGGUUAAGUCCCGCAACGAGCGCAACCCUUACCACUAGUUGCCAGCAUUUAGUUGGGCACUCUAGCGGAACUGCCGGUGAUAAACCGGAGGAAGGUGGGGAUGACGUCAAGUCAUCAUGGCCUCUAUGUCCAGGGCUACACACGUGCUACAAUGGCCGGUACAAACCGCUGCGAACUCGCGAGAGGGAGCCAAUCGGAAAAAGCCGGUCUCAGUUCGGAUUGGAGUCUGCAACUCGACUCCAUGAAGUUGGAAUCGCUAGUAAUCGCAGAUCAGCACGCUGCGGUGAAUACGUUCCCGGGUCUUGUACACACCG
Molecule: ribosomal RNA, 433 nt
Filed under: uncultured bacterium
Lineage: Bacteria
Description: bacterial SSU rRNA
Rfam family: Bacterial small subunit ribosomal RNA
Source: RNAcentral